This 253-nucleotide ribosomal RNA is filed under the name uncultured bacterium. RNAcentral's name for it is "partial 16S ribosomal RNA". It matches the Rfam family "Bacterial small subunit ribosomal RNA", at positions 524 to 776 of the family's 1533-position model. The record is from RNAcentral.
UACGUAGGGUGCAAGCGUUAUCCGGAAUCACUGGGCGUAAAGCGUGCGUAGGUGGGAAUUUAAGUGAGAUGUGAAAUCGUGUGGCUCAACCAUAUCGUUGUAUCUCAUACUGGGUUCCUAGAGGACGGCAGAGGCAAGUGGAACUAGCAGUGUAGCAGUGAAAUGCGUAGAUAUUGCUAAGAACACCAAUGGCGAAGGCAGCUCGCUGGGCCACUCCUGACACUGAGGUACGAAAGCGUGGGGAGCGAACAGG